This 27-nucleotide non-coding RNA is filed under the name Rattus norvegicus (Norway rat). Lineage: Eukaryota; Metazoa; Chordata; Mammalia; Rodentia; Muridae. The record is from RNAcentral.
UCACAAAGUUCUGUUGAAGUCCUGCCA